UCUCCUUUUCCGCACACUCACCUGUGUAGC
Molecule: non-coding RNA, 30 nt
Filed under: Homo sapiens (human)
Lineage: Eukaryota; Metazoa; Chordata; Mammalia; Primates; Hominidae
Source: RNAcentral